AGAGCAUGGAAUGCAUUCGAGUAAUUUCGGCGCUGAGCAGCAGGCAAAGUGGCAUCAGCCUGCAUACGGAUAAGUGCCAAAUCAGCUGGGCUGCCAACACAGGCUCCAAUAGCACCAGCAGUCAGACCACACAAAGCCUUCUGAUACAGUGGUAGGGGCUUCCCAUCAUUGGCUUCAAUUGCUUUGUUUGUCAACAUUCUAUACAAAAAAAAUGGAAAUAAAUCAACAUCUAAAUCAGAACCCGAAUGGAUAAUUCAAACUUAGUCUCAGAAGCAAACUAUGUCAGAAAGAGACAAUAAAAACAAAAUCAAAUGUUAAUAAGGUUCAAAAAUGAAAUUUACACUUCAGACUCAAAACUAUUAAUUAUUAGAACAAAAAUGGAAGUAUCUUGAAGAGUAUAAUGAAAGCCACACAACCAUUUACAUCCUAUCCCAUAUGCAGACACUAGACACUCACUUGAAUGAUCCAAGUCGAGCAGUAGUGUAUGUAGCUUGCCUGAGCAAUCCAGCUGAUAGCCCCUGUCCAAAAUAAUACAACUUAGGUUCAUGGACAAUAGAAAUAUUUUCUGAAUGCAACUGAGAACAUCUAACCAAAUUAUCGAAUUGUGAAAAUAGGAAGUACGAAUUCAGCAAGAUAAUGUCACUAUCUCUAUGUAUAACCACCAAUGACCAAAUUGCAGUUUUAAGUUGUAUAAAGUCUAGCCUCCAGAUAAUCGGACUACAAUGAAAGCAUGAAUUGUUGUCAAUAUCAUCUUUUAUAUGCUAUAAAGUAUUAACAAAUCAAGAAGCACAUCUAAUCCCAUGAAACAGCAUUGAAUUCCAAUAAUUUGGCAACCAAAAUCGCUACAUAAUGUCAUAUACAACAUAGAAUAAAAAUGUACAGAAACUCGAAACUUCGAACAUCCUCGUUGGUAUGCCAUGUUAAACGAACUACAAAUAAAAGAUCCAGCUUCUAACACAGAUCUCACAAGUCGAUAGCAAAAUCUAAUACCUGAAAAAGUAGAUCAGCCAUACAUAUGACUCAAAAAGUAAAAAAAAAUCAAAACUUGAAUGAAGUUGUAGAACAGAACCUUGUAAAAGGCACCAACACCCUCCUCUCUAAGCAUGUUCUUGGUGACAGUUGCUGCCGAUCCCUGGCCCAGUUGGAUUCUCACCUACACCAAACCAAAACAACAAAGGACCAUUAGCCGAAAUGACACAACAAAAAUAGACAAAUACUCCGAAAGAAAUCCGAGCAAACCCCAGAUCUAAAACCCCCAUCUUUGGGUUUAAAAGUAGCAUCCUUUUAACACUAAAAGGAAAAACAAAGAAGUGAUCUAACAGAAAUACAGGGAGAUAUGAAAGUAAAGAUGUAUGAAAACCUUGAUCAUGUCGAUGGGUUGGAUGACACAGGUGGCAAGCAUACCAGAGGCACCUCCAUUGACAAAAGGCUUAACCUUUGGCCAGACACCAGCAG
This 1455-nucleotide long non-coding RNA is filed under the name Theobroma cacao (cacao). RNAcentral describes it as "long non-coding RNA (TCAC_LNC005461)". The record is from RNAcentral. Lineage: Eukaryota; Viridiplantae; Streptophyta; Magnoliopsida; Malvales; Malvaceae.